Molecule: RNA transcript, 628 nt
Organism: Propithecus coquereli (Coquerel's sifaka)
Lineage: Eukaryota; Metazoa; Chordata; Mammalia; Primates; Indriidae
Gene name: ethylmalonyl-CoA decarboxylase pseudogene
Exons: 1
Source: RefSeq, a predicted model, not a curated record
GUUUUUAACACAUCUACUUAUAAAAAUCUGUGAUUUCAUAUUAAGUGAUGAAUGGGUACAACUUUAUGAUACAAUUUUUUUCUUUUUUCUUUUUCAGGUUAAUGACACCAGAGAGUGAGAUCAGAUUUGUCCAUAAGGAGAUGGGCAUAAUACCAAGCUGGGGUGGCACUACCCGGCUGGUUGAAAUAAUUGGCAGUAGACAAGCUCUCAAAGUAUUAAGUGGGGCCAUCAAACUGGAUUCAAAACAAGCUCUAAACAUAGGAAUGGUCGAAGAUGUCUUGCAAUCUUCAGAUGAAACUAAAUCUCUAGAAGAGGCUCAAGAGUGGCUAAAGCAAUUUAUCAAAGGGCCACCAGAAGUAAUUAGAGCUUUGAAAAAAUCUGUUUGUUCAGGCAAAGAGCUAUAUUUAGAGGAGGCAUUACAGAAUGAAAGAGAUCUUUUAGGAACACUUUGGGGUGGACCUGUAAAUUUAGAGGCUAUUGCUAAGAAAGGAAAAUUUAAUAAAUAGUUUUUAAAAAUGUGGACAAACUAUAAAGCUCCAAUGAUAUGUGUUAACAUUAAAUGGUAUUAAAUGUGAACAUCAGAAUUACUUUGAAGGCUACUACUAAUAUUCUGAUUGUUUUUAAUAAU